RNAcentral lists this ribosomal RNA (520 nucleotides) under uncultured Glomus. Its description in RNAcentral is "SSU rRNA". It matches the Rfam family "Eukaryotic small subunit ribosomal RNA", at positions 569 to 1092 of the family's 1831-position model. The record is from RNAcentral. Lineage: Eukaryota; Fungi; Glomeromycota; Glomeromycetes; Glomerales; Glomeraceae.
AGCAGCCGCGGUAAUUCCAGCUCCAAUAGCGUAUAUUAAAGUUGCUGCAGUUAAAAAGCUCGUAGUUGAAUUUCGGGACUGAUAUGUCGGUCGUGCCUCGGUACGUACUGGUAUUUUUGGUUUCUCCCUUCUGACGAACCUUGAUGUCAUUAAUUUGGUGUCUUGGGAAAUCAGGACUGUUACUUUGAAAAAAUUAGAGUGUUUAAAGCAGGCUCACGCUUGAAUACAUUAGCAUGGAAUAAUGAAAUAGGACGUUUGAUUCUAUUUUGUUGGUUUCUAGGAUUGACGUAAUGAUUAAUAGGGAUAGUUGGGGGCAUUAGUAUUCAAUUGUCAGAGGUGAAAUUCUUGGAUUUAUUGAAGACUAACUACUGCGAAAGCAUUUGCCAAGGAUGUUUUCAUUAAUCAAGAACGAAAGUUAGGGGAUCGAAGACGAUCAGAUACCGUCGUAGUCUUAACCAUAAACUAUGCCGACUAGGGAUCGGAUGAUGUUAAUUUUUAAUGACUCAUUCGGCGCCUUACG